Molecule: long non-coding RNA, 1152 nt
Organism: Tigriopus californicus
Lineage: Eukaryota; Metazoa; Arthropoda; Copepoda; Harpacticoida; Harpacticidae
Exons: 3
Source: RefSeq, a predicted model, not a curated record
CUUAGGGAACAGGAAAGAAAGAAGAAAAAAACGCAUCGAAACCCCGAGAUUUUUCAUCACGGUCAUUGUGAAUCUCCCAUGAGUCUGUUUAAAAUCCCGUUAGUCUUGACCUCGGUUGGGGUGACAGUUUUGCAUUAAUAAUGACUUGGAGGAGCCAAGACUGAAUAUGAUUGACACUCCGACCGGGGCCAAAAGUUUCUAUUUCCAAUCUUCUUGUCUCAUUUUGCGCGAGCAGGAGCCAACAAGACCAGGCACGCACGUCCUAUUCCUAGCGGUGGUGGUGGUGGUGGUGGUGGUGGUGGUGGUGUGAUGUCGGAAAUUCUUCGAAACAUUCCAACUGCUCGUUUACGUUUGCAAUAAAAGAGCUAUUGUUAGGGAGCAAGUACGUAGAAGAAAUAGAUGUACCUACCUACAGUAAACUGAUCUCCACAGUGUUGUGUUUGGGGAUGGACAGACAGAGUACACACAAACAACAGUGAACUGGCGAGCCUACCGAGUACAGAGGGCUUUUGUAACCCGGGGAAACGAAUGGAAAUGACAGAAGACAUCCAUUUGGAACCGCACCAAACUGCCUUCUUGCACUCACUCAGUGGAUGGAACUACGUAGAAAGACGACGACGACGAAGAAGAUGAAACUCGCCAUUCUCAAUUCUCAAUCCAUCCUGUAUUUGGGUGUGUGGAUGUGUUUGGCUCGAGAGAUGGGAAGAAUGACUCGACGAGAUCGGUGUCUCUACAUACACACCGAUACUAUCCCUACCGUAGAGACAAACCGACCAACCAACCAACCAACCAACCGACCGACCGACCCCUUUUCAUUGUGCCACUCGAGGAGCAUUGCGAGAAAAAUGGAGUUCACCACGGAGCAAUCCAAGAGAGCAGAAUUAAAAGAAUUAAAUGAACAGUCGUUUCGUCGUCUAUGAGUUCGGCCCGUUAGCUCGGGUGGCUCGAUCUCGAUUUCAACCUAAUAAUAUACUCGGAAUGGGACUGAGGAGAGGAGAAAAGAAAGAGCAGCCAGGAAAUAGUAGUCAUUCUUGGCACUCGGUAUUACUACCGUUUUUGCAUUGCACUAUGAAAAGCACAACUCAGCUGGAACAAAGUGUUAUACAGAAUACAUCUACGUACACGCACAGAGUAAAAGGCUUCAGAGAAUAG